GACGAACGCUGGCGGCGUGCCUAAUACAUGCAAGUCGAACGCAGUGGGGACGGGUGCGUAACACGUGGGUAACCUCCCAUCAGAGGGGAUAACACUUGGAAACAGGUGCUAAACCGAUACUGAUGGAUGAACCCGCGGGGCAUUAGCUAGUUGGUGGGGUAACGGCUCACCAAGGCCACGAUGCAUAGCCGGCCUGAGAGGGUGAUCGGCCACACUGGGACUGAGACACGGCCCAGACUCCUACGGGAGGCAGCAGUAGGGAAUAUUGGGCAAUGGGCGAAAGCCUGACCGAGCAACGCCGCGUGAAUGAAGAAGGUUUUCGGAUCGUAAAGUUCUGUUGUUAGGGAAGCGGUACCUAAAGAGAAAGCAACGGCUAACUACGUGCCAGCAGCCGCGGUAAUUC
Molecule: ribosomal RNA, 403 nt
Filed under: uncultured bacterium
Lineage: Bacteria
Description: partial 16S ribosomal RNA
Rfam family: Bacterial small subunit ribosomal RNA
Source: RNAcentral